This is a long non-coding RNA of Neltuma alba, 92 nucleotides long. RefSeq lists it as uncharacterized. Lineage: Eukaryota; Viridiplantae; Streptophyta; Magnoliopsida; Fabales; Fabaceae. The record is from RefSeq and is a predicted model, not a curated record. The transcript is spliced from 4 exons.
UCAAAGUCCAGAAAAAAAAUAAUCUGAGUUUGUGUACUUCUUUAUGAUUGUUAAAUCAGGAUUUCGAAUGUGCUAUGUGUUUAGGUGUCUAA